AUUGAUCCCGUCGGACCCCACUGCUAUCGAGGUGGGACUAAGCAAUGCUAGUCGAACGACCCGAACUAUGUCGGGAAGUGGCACACGGCUCAGUAACACGUAGCUAACCUAACCUAAGGACGGAGAAAACCUCGGGAAACUGAGGUUAAUAACCGAUAGGUAUGAUGUCCUGGAAUGGUAUCAUGCCCAAAGGUGUUCACAGCAUGUUGUAAACAUGCCUUAGGAUGGGGCUGCGGCUGAUCAGGCUGUUGGCGAGGUAAUGGCUCACCAAACCUUUGACCAGUACGGGCCAUGAGAGUGGUAGCCCGGAGAUGGACACUGAGACAAGGGUCCAGGUUCUACGGAACGCAGCAUGCGCGAAACCUCCUCAAUGCACUCAAGUGCGAAGGGGUUACCUCGAGUGCCACCUGAUGAAGGUGGCUUUUGUAUAGUAUAACACACUAUUCGAAUAAGAGGGGGGCAAGACUGGUGUCAGCCGCCGCGGUAACACCAGCCCCUCGAGUGGUGGGGAUGAUUAUUUGGCCUAAAGCGUCCGUAGCCGGCCAUGUAAGUCUCCCGUUAAAUCCAGCGUCUCAAGCGUUGGACUGCGGGAGAUACUGCAAGGCUAGAGGGUGGGAGAGGUAUGCGGUAUUCUGGGGGUAGGGGCGAAAUCCUUUGAUCCCCGGAGGACCACCAGUGGCGAAGGCUGCAUACUAGAACACGCCUGACGGUCAGGGACGAAAGCUGGGGUAGCGAACCGGAUUAGAUACCCGGGUAGUCCCAGCCGUAAACGAUGCACGCUAGGUGUUGGGUCGGCCACGAGCCGCCCCAGUGCCGCAGGGAAGCCGAUAAGCGUGCCGCCUGGGGAGUACGGCCGCAAGGCUGAAACUUAAAGGAAUUGGCGGGGGAGCACCACCAGGCGUGAAGCCUGCGGUUUAAUUGGAGUCAACGCCGGGAACCUUACCGGGAGCGACAGCAGAGUGAAGGCCAAGUUGAAGACUUUGCCAGACAAGCUGAGAGGAGGUGCAUGGCCGUCGCCAGUUCGUGCCGUGAGUGUUCUCUUAAGUGAGAUAACGAACACGGGCAACGGCAGGUCAGUAUGCCCCGAAUCUCCCGGGCCACACGCGGGCUGCAAUGGUAUGGACAGAGGGCUGCAACUCCGAGAGGAGAAGCCAACCCCUAAACCGUACCUCAGUUGGGAUCGAGGGCUGCAACCCGCCCUCGUGAACAUGGAAUGCCUAGUAACCGCCGGUCAUCAUCCGGCGGUGAAUACGUCCCUGCUCCUUGCACACACUGCCCGUCGAACCACCCGAAUGAGGUUUGGGUGAGGCAUGGUCGACAGUUGGCCGUGUCGAACCUGGGCUUCGUAAGGAGGGUUAAGUCGUAACAAGGUGGCCGU
RNAcentral lists this ribosomal RNA (1378 nucleotides) under metagenome. Its description in RNAcentral is "bacterial SSU rRNA". It matches the Rfam family "Archaeal small subunit ribosomal RNA". The record is from RNAcentral.